This 77-nucleotide transfer RNA is filed under the name Clostridiales bacterium. RNAcentral's name for it is "tRNA-Arg". It matches the Rfam family "tRNA". From Rfam's summary of the family: Transfer RNA (tRNA) molecules are approximately 80 nucleotides in length. The record is from RNAcentral. RNAcentral also lists the same sequence under 1 other name. Lineage: Bacteria; Bacillati; Bacillota; Clostridia; Eubacteriales.
GCACUAGUAGCUCAACUGGAUAGAGUACUCGGCUACGGACCGAGCGGUUGGGGGUUCGAACCCCUCCUGGUGCACCA